CUUGCUUAAAUAUAAGAGGUCCAGCCUGCCCAGUGACACAGUUCAACGGCCGCGGUAUCCUAACCGUGCGAAGGUAGCGUAAUCACUUGUUCUUUAAAUGGGGACUAGUAUGAAUGGCACCACGAGGGUUGAACUGUCUCCUUUCUCUAAUCAGUGAAACUAAUCUCCCCGUGAAGAAGCGGGAAUUAUUUUAUAAGACGAGAAGACCCUAUGGAGCUUAAAACAAAUUGACAUCUGCUUCCACUUACUUCAAUUCCUGAACAAUUACACAAAAUACAGCAUCAUUGAUCAAUAGUUUUAGAUUGGGGUGAUCAUGGAGCAAAAAACAACCUCCACGACGAAAAGGAAUAUCCCCUGAGCCAAAAGCCACAACUUUAAGCACUAAAAAAUUAACGCACCUUGACCCAAUUUUUUGAGCAACGAACCAAGUUACCCUAGGGAUAACAGCGCAAUCCACUUCAAGAGCCCCUAUCGACAAGUGGGCUUACGACCU
RNAcentral lists this ribosomal RNA (493 nucleotides) under Boana calcarata. Its description in RNAcentral is "partial large subunit ribosomal RNA". It matches the Rfam family "Bacterial large subunit ribosomal RNA", at positions 1834 to 2526 of the family's 2925-position model. Lineage: Eukaryota; Metazoa; Chordata; Amphibia; Anura; Hylidae. The record is from RNAcentral.